RNAcentral lists this unclassified non-coding RNA (212 nucleotides) under soil metagenome. RNAcentral's name for it is "partial contains 5.8S ribosomal RNA, internal transcribed spacer 2, and large subunit ribosomal RNA". The record is from RNAcentral.
AACCUUAUGGACCUGCGGGCGUAUACCUGCGGAAGGAUCAUUAUCGAGUUGCAAAACUCCAACCCUUUGUGAACAUACCUCAGUCGUUGCUUCGGCGGUGGACGGUCUGUUUUUCAGGACGGCCGGAAGCCGCCGGAGGUUCCAAACUCGUGUUUUGUUUAGUGUAUCUCUGAGCCUGAAAACAAAUAAUCAAAACUUUCAACAACGGAUCU